Non-coding RNA from Triticum urartu, 877 nucleotides. NCBI's taxonomy places the organism in Eukaryota, Viridiplantae, Streptophyta, Magnoliopsida, Poales, Poaceae. The record is from RefSeq and is a predicted model, not a curated record.
AACUCCCCAUACAACGCUCAUUCCUCUAUUUGGCUCGUGAAGUCGUGAUGAAACCCUUCCUGUCUCCCUCUCUCGAUCUGCGCCGCCGGCUCACUUCCCUCGAUCUGCGCUCGGCUCUUCCACUGCGGCACAUCAAGGGAAGAAGAUGGGAUUGGGGGGCGAGCGGCUGCGGAGCGCGGGCGGCCUGCGGCGGGCGAGGGCCUGCGGGGCGGCGAAGAGGGGAUACUCCGGUGGGCUACCAGCGGCGACAGAGGCUUAGCGCCUGCUUCUUCUCCAGAUGGUUCAUCGCCAACUCACUGCUGCUCAUAGAGGAAGAGAAACAUAUAUGGUGGAUGAUGUCUAUCAUGCUUUUGCAGACUUCCAAGGACAGUUACAACAAUUCUGGAGCAUGUAUUGUCCUCAGUCCUCCUGAUUUUGCUACCGUCAUUUCCAUAGUAUUCAAGAUGUAAAACCUCGACCUGUGGAAGUAAUUGUUUCCGAUGAAGAGUUAAAUCUAGCGCCAUGGAUGACAACAAUUCAGGCUUUUAACUAAAUAUUUUGUCAUGUUCGCAAUCGGCUGGUUCAUUUAACCUGAUAUGUAUCCACAUAACCAUCAGAUAUUCUUGGUCAUUUUCGAAGGAUGGGUGCUGGACUUGGCACAUUUCCCUGAGAGGAUUGUUCCGGCAGUAAAUAGUGGUUUUUGAUAGAAUUAUGUAUUUGUAUUUGGCAGUGCCUCACGUACGAUCAAAGCUGGUCCGAUUUGGUACGAUAGCGCAAUCCACUGUGAAUCCACCUUGAGCCAGCGUUGAUCAACGGUGGCCAUACUACUUCGUACAGAAAUCGUACAAAUUCUGUCGUACGUGAAGCAAUGCUCAUUUGUAUUACGCCCUGCUACCAA